AUGAACGCUGGCGGCGUGCCUAAUACCUGCAAGUCGAGCGAACAGACGAGGAGCUUGCUCCUCUGACGUUAGCGGCGGACGGGUGAGUAACACGUGGAUAACCUACCUAUAAGACUGGGAUAACUUCGGGAAACCGGAGCUAAUACCGGAUAAUAUAUUGAACCGCAUGGUUCAAUAGUGAAAGACGGUUUUGCUGUCACUUAUAGAUGGAUCCGCGCCGCAUUAGCUAGUUGGUAAGGUAACGGCUUACCAAGGCAACGAUGCGUAGCCGACCUGAGAGGGUGAUCGGCCACACUGGAACUGAGACACGGUCCAGACUCCUACGGGAGGCAGCAGUAGGGAAUCUUCCGCAAUGGGCGAAAGCUUGACGGAGCAACGCCGCGUGAGUGAUGAAGGUCUUCGGAUCGUAAAACUCUGUUAUUAGGGAAGAACAAAUGUGUAAGUAACUAUGCACGUCUUGACGGUACCUAAUCAGAAAGCCACGGCGAACUACGU
This 495-nucleotide ribosomal RNA is filed under the name uncultured bacterium. RNAcentral's name for it is "partial 16S ribosomal RNA". It matches the Rfam family "Bacterial small subunit ribosomal RNA", at positions 29 to 506 of the family's 1533-position model. The record is from RNAcentral.